RNAcentral lists this ribosomal RNA (465 nucleotides) under uncultured bacterium. RNAcentral's name for it is "partial 16S ribosomal RNA". It matches the Rfam family "Bacterial small subunit ribosomal RNA", at positions 28 to 507 of the family's 1533-position model. The record is from RNAcentral.
GACGAACGCUGGCGGCGUGCUUAACACAUGCAAGUCGAACGGAAAGGCCCUGCUUGCAGGGUACUCGAGUGUCGAACGGGUGAGUAACACGUGGGUGAUCUGCCCUGCACUUCUUGGUAAGCCUUGGAAACUGGGGCUAAUACCGGAUAUGAGCCAUUCUUCGGGUGGUGGUUGGAAAGUUUUUUCGGUGUAGGAUGAGCUCGCGGCCUAUCAGCUUGUUGGUGGGGUAAUGGCCUACCAAGGCGGCGACUGGUAGCCGGCCGGGGAGGGUGGACGGCCAAAAUGGGAAUGAGAUAAGGGCCAGACCCCCAAGGGAGGCAGGAGGGGGGAAUAUUGCAAAAUGGGGGCGAGCCUGAUGCAGCGAACCCGCGGGGGGGAUGACGGGCUUCGGGUUGGAAACUCCUUUCCCUAUGGAAGAAGCUUUUUGUGACGGUACCUAGAUAAGAAGCACCGGCUAACUACGUG